GAUAGUUCCAGGUUGAAUAAGUUCUCAAUGAUUAAUCCUACUACAUUAUGCAUUACCUUCCACUCAAUGGUUUCGAAAUUUUAUGAUCCAUUUUAUACAAAUGCUGAAUGAGCUAUUAGAACGCCGAAGGAUAAAAAUGAACAUUACUAAACUUUGGGUUAUUCCAAUUGAAAAACAUAGUAAUAAUUAUAAAAUAAGGAGGUCGAUAUGUUUAAUUAUUAUUUCAGUUCUCAACUAAACCUGAACAGAAUUCAUGCAUUACAAUAAUUCAACACGAUAAGAUUUUAUCAGCUAUAUACAAUAUACAGAAUUACAUGACGAUAAGAUAAACCCGUACGAGAGAACCAUUUAUAUAAGAAGUAUCAGAGCGUAUUUUAUAACCAGGUAUAUAAGGGCGCUUAUUAUCAACAUGUGAAGGACGAGAAGCACGUAGAAUAGAGCCAUACCGAAUUUUAAAAAAAUUAGAUCAUCGAUCGCACAGAAAAAUUUUCAGUUGACUUUCAAGUUAUUUCGCAACUGGCUCGAACCUUUCGGGUUUUCACGCAGUUUUUCCGACGUUUGAGAUGCUUUCCUCCCCGUUAUUUGAUCUGGACUGACGCUAUGGACAUCGGUCAGUUCACGAUAUGAGCGAUAAUGCAUUCACCCUAACGCUAAUGCUCGUGCUUCUCCACUGUAAUACACCCACAUAUGCCCAUCCGGGCUGCAUUCGGACAUCCCUGAGCUGCCUACUAAUGUCCAGUGUUUCUGAGGCAGGAUGAGGAAGGGCAAACAGUUUUUGCAUUAGUCGGGUAAUCUAAUAUGCUGAUGGCCCCCUGUAAAAUGGGGAAAAUUCGAUAUCUUGCGGCAAAUAUGGAAACCAGGUAUUUUGUUUCCAAAGGAAAAUUCAAAGGUACACAGGGUGUCCCAACUAAAAUUCGCCACACAUUUUUUGUUGGGAACCUGCGUUAAAUG
Coccinella septempunctata (seven-spotted ladybird) is the source of this 951-nucleotide long non-coding RNA. RefSeq lists it as uncharacterized. The transcript is spliced from 3 exons. NCBI's taxonomy places the organism in Eukaryota, Metazoa, Arthropoda, Insecta, Coleoptera, Coccinellidae. The record is from RefSeq and is a predicted model, not a curated record.